GCCCUGGUGGCACAGUGGUUAAAUGCCUACUGCAGCCAACUGGAAGGUUGUGAGUUCAAUACCAGCCAGGGCU
This is a non-coding RNA of Phrynosoma platyrhinos (Desert horned lizard), 73 nucleotides long. NCBI's taxonomy places the organism in Eukaryota, Metazoa, Chordata, Lepidosauria, Squamata, Phrynosomatidae. The record is from the annotation of a GenBank genome assembly.